AGAGUUUGAUCCUGGCUCAGGACGAACGCUGGCGGCGUGCCUAACACAUGCAAGUCGAGCGGAGAUAUUAGUAAUAAUAUUUUAGCGGCGGACGGGGGGGAUUAGUAAUAAUAUUUUAGCGGCGGACGGGUGAGUAACGCGUGGGCAACCUGCCUCACACUGGGGGAUAACACAAGGAAACUUGUGCUAAUACCGCAUAACACCAUGAGAGGACAUCCUUUAGCGGUCAAAGGAGCAAUCCGGUGAGAGAUGGGCCCGCGUCCAAUUAGCUAGUUGGUGAUGUAACGGACCACCAAGGCGACGAUUGGUAGCCGAACUGAGAGGUUGAUCGGCCACAUUGGGACUGAGAUACGGCCCAGACUCCUACGGGAGGCAGCAGUGGGGAAUAUUGCGCAAUGGGGGAAACCCUGACGCAGCAACGCCGCGUGAAGGAUGAAGGUUUUCGGAUUGUAAAACUCUGUCGUCUGGGACGCUUCAGGGAAGAACAGAAAGACGGUAGCAGAGGAGGAAGCCCCGGCUAACUACGUGCCAGCAGCCGUGGUAAUACGUAGGGGGCAAGCGUUGUCCGGAAUGACUGGGCGUAAAGGGUGCGUAGGCGGUUGAUUAAGUCCGGUGUGAAAGAUCAGGGCUCAACCCUGAGAGUGCAUCGGAAACUGCCAGACUAGAGGGUUGGAGGGGGUGGCGGAAUCCCCGGUGUAGAGGUGAAAUUCGUAGAUAUUAGGAGGAACACCGGUGGCGAAGGCGACUUCCUGGCCAGAUACUGACACUGAGGCGCGAAAGCGUGGGGAGCAAAUAGGAUUAGAUACCCUAGUAGUCCCACGCCGUAAACGAUGAAUGCUAGGUGUCGGGGGUAUCGACCCCCGCGGUGCCGCAGUUAACGCAAUAAGUAAUCCGCCUGGGGAGUAUGCACGCAAGUGUGAAACUCAAAGGAAUUGACGGGGGCCCGCACAAGCGGUGGAGUAUGUGGUUUAAUUCGAAGCAACGCGAAGAACCUUACCAAGUCUUGACAUACCGUGCAAAGCCCUGGAGACACAGGGGAAUUUAUAUGGCGGAUACAGGUGGUGCAUGGUUGUCGUCAGCUCGUGUCGUGAGAUGUUGGGUUAAGUCCCGCAACGAGCGCAACCCUUGUCUUUAGUUGCCAGCAUGAAGUUGGGAACUCUGAAAGAACUGCCGGUGACAAACCGGAGGAAGGUGGGGAUGACGUCAAAUCAUCAUGCCCCUUAUGUCUUGGGCUACACACGUACUACAAUGGCCUGAACAGAGGGAAGCAAAACUGCGAAGUUAAGCGAAUCCCUUAAAACAGGUCCCAGUUCGGAUUGUAGGCUGCAACUCGCCUACAUGAAGUCGGAAUCGCUAGUAAUCGCAGGUCAGCAUACUGCGGUGAAUACGUUCCCGGGCCUUGUACACACCGCCCGUCACACCACGAAAGUUGGCAACACCCGAAGCCGGUGACUUAACCCGAAAGGGAGAGAGCCGUCGAAGGUGGGGUUAGUAAUUGGGGUGAAGUCGUAACAAGGUAACCC
Molecule: ribosomal RNA, 1523 nt
Filed under: uncultured bacterium
Lineage: Bacteria
Description: partial 16S ribosomal RNA
Rfam family: Bacterial small subunit ribosomal RNA
Source: RNAcentral